ACUGCUCAGUAACACGUGGACAACCUACCCUGAGGUCGGGGAUAAACCCGGGAAACUGGGUAUAAUACCCGAUAGAUCUAGAUCGCUGGAAUGCUUUUAGGUCUAAAGUUCCGACGCCUCAGGAUGGGUCUGCGGCCUAUCAGGGUAGUAGUGGGUGUAAAGUACCUACUAGCCCACGACGGGUACGGGUUGUGAGAGCAAGAGCCCGGAGAUGGAUUCUGAGACACGAAUCCAGGCCCUACGGGGUGCAGCAGGCGCGAAACCUUUACAAUGCUGGCAACAGCGAUAAGGGGACCUCGAGUGCUACGAUACAAUCGUGGCUGUCUAGUUGCCUAAAAAGCAAUUGAUAGCAAGGGCCGGGCAAGACCGGUGCCAGCCGCCGCGGUAACACCGGCGGCUCGAGUGGUAACCGCUAUUAUUGGGUCUAAAGGGUCUGUAGCCGGCUUAGUUAGUCUCUUGAGAAAUCUGGCCGCUCAACGGUCAGGCGUUCAGGGGAUACUGCUAAAGCUCGAGACCGGGAGAGGUGAGAGGUACUUCAGGGGUAGAGGUGAAAUCUUGUAAUCCUUGAAGGACCACCAGUGGCGAAGGCGUCUCACCAGAACGGAUCUGACGGCAAGGGACGAAAGCUAGGGGCACGAACCGGAUUAGAUACCCGGGUAGUCCUAGCCGUAAACGAUACUCGCUAGGUGUCGGCCACGGUGCGACCGUGGUCGGUGCCGUAGGGAAGCCGUGAAGCGAGCCACCUGGGAAGUACGGCCGCAAGGCUGAAACUUAAAGGAAUUGGCGGGGGAGCAC
Molecule: ribosomal RNA, 795 nt
Filed under: uncultured archaeon
Lineage: Archaea
Description: bacterial SSU rRNA
Rfam family: Archaeal small subunit ribosomal RNA
Source: RNAcentral